UGAAUACUGAUAGUAGAAGCACCUGCAGUGAAGCCUCAUUUGAAGGAAUCAGCCAAUUUCAAGUGAAUAACACCCUUCUCCAUCCAGAAAUUGUCGAAUGCCGCCUCCUUAAGACUGACAUGGAGCUGGAGGUUCUACGAUACACCAACA
Long non-coding RNA from Acipenser ruthenus (sterlet), 150 nucleotides. RefSeq lists it as uncharacterized. The transcript is spliced from 3 exons. The record is from RefSeq and is a predicted model, not a curated record. Lineage: Eukaryota; Metazoa; Chordata; Actinopteri; Acipenseriformes; Acipenseridae.